Hibiscus syriacus is the source of this 1094-nucleotide long non-coding RNA. RefSeq lists it as uncharacterized. NCBI's taxonomy places the organism in Eukaryota, Viridiplantae, Streptophyta, Magnoliopsida, Malvales, Malvaceae. The transcript is spliced from 3 exons. The record is from RefSeq and is a predicted model, not a curated record.
AUUAAAUAAUUUUAUUAGGUAUUUCCUAUUUUUUAAUUUUUUUCCUUUUUAUAUGUUAAUUCCAGUUGCAGAACAGGUUUCCCAGGUAAAGUCUUCAACAAAAAGAAACUGAUGUCAGAAUUUAUGGGAAAAUAAUAAUAAUAAUUUUCUUCACAGAAAAGAAGAAACCUUUCAAAGAUCCAAGCUAAAGGGCUUAAAUUAAUCUCUCUGGUGGUUCUUGUAUCUCUUUAACGACAACCCAGUUGUCGUUUUCAACAGAACAGUGGGUGAUAAUGUUGUUUUGGGGGCUUUGAGUUUUGCUACUGUGCUUUUAUUGGUUUUGACGCAUGUGGUUGUUAAUGUGUUAGUGGGGUUGAUUAUUGCGGCCGUUGUUAUUGGCGUUCAUGCUGCCUUUAGAGUAACUGAAGGUUUGGGUCUUCUUCCUGGUGAAGAGGAGGAAGAUGGGUUGCCUUCUGUUGUUGGAAGUAUGCCUUUGAGGCCCACUUCUGGAUAUAAUAGGAUUUGAUUUGAUCUUUUUGGUGUUGAAUUCUUGCAAAGUUGUGUUAUGGGGGUUGAUUGGAGGGGAGGAAUUGGUCUUUUCAUUAGUGGUUAGGAUUUUGGUUGAGGUAUGGCUUGUGGUUUGGUGUUAUUAGUUUAAAUUUUGAGGUGCAUGAAGUUUCCUUGUGGUUGUUUGAAAUUGAACUUGAGCUGGUAUUUUGUUGUUUUUAGGUUUGACAUUGUUGUGGUCUUUGGGGUUUGUUUUGAACUGUGUUACGGGAUCAUAUGGUGUCUUUUGAUCCUGGUGUUUAUUGUUUAAGAUUGUGGGUGUAGGGUGGGAGGCAUUGGUAUGAUCCCUUUAGUGGUUCCUAUUUGAUGCAUGACUUGUUUCAUUCAUGAGAUGAUCCCCUUGAUCGUUCUAGUUUUCACUAGGAGUUGGCGCUUGGGUUAGAAUUGGAUAUAACAAGUUUUGUACUCAUUGAUUGAAUCUCGAAAGUGGCGAUAUUUUGCGGUUCAAUAGUUUGCAUAUUCUCGAAAUAUAGGAGAAUGUGUGGCUCUGCUUAUUUGAUGGUAAUGUUGGGUUCUGUAUUUUGGCUGAUUAACAUGAUUGUUAAAUG